This 318-nucleotide ribosomal RNA is filed under the name Triticum aestivum (bread wheat). RNAcentral describes it as "partial small subunit ribosomal RNA". Lineage: Eukaryota; Viridiplantae; Streptophyta; Magnoliopsida; Poales; Poaceae. The record is from RNAcentral.
AUGACUAUGUAUUGUUGUAUUGCCGUGCUCUGCGGGUUGGCGUUGGCCGCCAACAACGACGAGGCUGGCGGCUCGGGCGCGGGCGUCAUCAACAUUGAUCUGUGUCCUAUUUUUUCUUUGGUUUUUAGUUUUUGUUAUGAUCAGUGUCUUGUUUUUUCUUUUAUAAAUUGCAAUGAACGACCGAAGCUCGACAAAGAUGUCCUAAUCUUAUUGUAUUUGAGUGUCAUUUAUUUAGCUCUUUCAAAAUUUAUAGUGUGGCUUUUUGUAACAUGCCAUUUUCAUGUGUUUAUGAAGAUUGCAAAAAAGCAACUGGAAUGA